This 1745-nucleotide long non-coding RNA is filed under the name Triticum aestivum (bread wheat). RNAcentral describes it as "long non-coding RNA (TAES_LNC025090)". Lineage: Eukaryota; Viridiplantae; Streptophyta; Magnoliopsida; Poales; Poaceae. The record is from RNAcentral.
CCUCCAUGGCAUGACGGCGGUGCACUGCAUCGGCUAAAGCACCACCAUGGUGAGCCCCUCUCCAUCCUAUGUUCCCUCCGGUUGCUGCCAUGCACAUGACGUGUAUUUUUCUAACUGUACAAUAACACUUACUCCUCUACUGUCACAUACUAGAUGAUUGCUACUAGACUAAUAGAUUAGCCUUGAAUUCAUCUAGUUUGGAUCAAAACAGAACCAUUGAUUAAUACUAGAUGAUUUUUACUGUAAAUUUUGUUACAGAUUUCUUUGAACUAGUUUGAUUCCCUGUUGAUCUAUAUUUUUUACUUAUUCACAUGCUGGACUGAAUUUGCUACUGCUGUUACUCUAGUGUUGAACGAGAUAGGCAUUCUAUUGCUUGUUUCCUUGCUUCCACAAAUUAAAAUUCAGUAAUCUUGUUAACUGCUACCGUUGUCACGAACCACACAUCUGAGAUGAACUUGACAUUGAUUUGCUCCUUUGUCAAGUAUGGAUAGACUUUGCUAUUCACCAGUAUUCAGGCAGUUGAUGUGUGCGUGUUGCUGCAACUGUUAGGACAUUGUUGGAUUGUUAUCACUAGUACUAGUCCUAUCAAAUUGCAUGUGAGUAGUUCAUUACCAUGCUAUCCAGGGGAUAUUCCUUUUUGUGCCUGUGAAUUCGUUCUUGUUGUGUAUAUAUGUAUAUGUGCUAGCAACAUGAGUAGGAUUUAGCAUCAUGCUGGGCCUGGAUGAAUUGCAUGCAUACAUUGAUCCUGGGAGAAGUGUCUGGCUGAUACAAUCCUCUUUUUUACAAAGCUAUUAUAUACUUUGGGAAAUAUAGUAGUUUGUUAUUUACUGCCUGCACUGCAAGUAUGGAUGCUCAUGAUUGCAUGCAUCCAGGGUGAGUCGUACCUAGUUGUUCUUUAUGCAUCUCCAAGUUACUAUUGAAAAAGCUCGCAUAACUAGUUGUUUCUUUUCAGAUUAAACCUGAGACCUCUUUUGUUUUAUCUUGAGAGCUAUGACUGACGGCCAAACCGUUGUUUUUCUGUGCUAGACUCACUCCACAGCUUUGUUUUGUUUUGUGCCACCUGAUCAUUAUGCCAUCCUAUUGAUAUUGAUGCAAUGGAAUUUAUAGUUUUGCUGUCCCCUGAGCUGAGAUGCUUAUCUAGUGUUUAUGGCUUAGUAACUGUCCUCUGAAUUUGAAAUUAUACUAGUAUUGCUCUACACUCAGCAGCUAGCUCUGUUUUGUGGCACCUGUUACUUAUGCCACGGUAUUGUUUCAAUGGAAUCAGUACAAUUUCUUUGCACAUUGGGAUUGCUCUGUUUGCUUCAUAUUAUGGUGUUAAUGUCUUACUAGCUAAUUGUGGCGGCCGUCUGGAUUGUCGCUCAUAGUAUUGCUGGUGGUGGUGCUGUUGUGUAGGUUGACAAAAAUGCUCUGCAUCUUGAGAAGCAAAUAUCUUAAAACUUUGACUUGGAUCUCGACGGCGACGGCAUCCAACGAACACAAGGUCGCUCCCAACCAACAAGUUUUUUUUCUUCCAAGUUAAUAAUGUGGAUUGUGACGUUUAUCUGUGCACUGAUUUUCAGAGUGGAUGGCUGUACCAUUUAAUUUUGAUUACUAGCACUAGUAGUUGUAUUCAGUGUGAGCUGGAAGACUAACUGAUUCAGUUUUCGAAGCCAUCUUUGCUGUUCUGGUUGUGUUUGCACAGCUCACUUGUUGUCAGUGCAGUUCUCUUACACAUAUUUGUUUGUUGGGGUUUAAUUUCUAGAAUC